GAUGAACGCUGGCGGCGUGCCUAAUACAUGCAAGUCGAGCGAACAGACGAGGAGCUUGCUCCUCUGACGUUAGCGGCGGACGGGUGAGUAACACGUGGAUAACCUACCUAUAAGACUGGGAUAACUUCGGGAAACCGGAGCUAAUACCGGAUAACAUGUUGAACCGCAUGGUUCAACAGUGAAAGACGGUUUUGCUGUCACUUAUAGAUGGAUCCGCGCCGCAUUAGCUAGUUGGUAAGGUAACGGCUUACCAAGGCAACGAUGCGUAGCCGACCUGAGAGGGUGAUCGGCCACACUGGAACUGAGACACGGUCCAGACUCCUACGGGAGGCAGCAGUGGGGAAUCUUCCGCAAUGGGCGAAAGCCUGACGGAGCAACGCCGCGUGAGUGAAGAAGGUCUUCGGAUCGUAAAACUCUGUUAUUAGGGAAGAACAAAUGUGUAAGUAACUAUGCACGUCUUGACGGUACCUAAUCAGAAAGCCACGGCUAACUACGUG
This 497-nucleotide ribosomal RNA is filed under the name uncultured bacterium. RNAcentral describes it as "partial 16S ribosomal RNA". It matches the Rfam family "Bacterial small subunit ribosomal RNA", at positions 28 to 507 of the family's 1533-position model. The record is from RNAcentral.